RNAcentral lists this ribosomal RNA (521 nucleotides) under uncultured bacterium. RNAcentral describes it as "bacterial SSU rRNA". It matches the Rfam family "Bacterial small subunit ribosomal RNA", at positions 988 to 1509 of the family's 1533-position model. The record is from RNAcentral.
CCAGCGAACUUGGCAGAGAUGCCUUGGUGCCUUCGGGAACGCUGAGACAGGUGCUGCAUGGCUGUCGUCAGCUCGUGUUGUGAAAUGUUGGGUUAAGUCCCGCAACGAGCGCAACCCUUAUCCUUUGUUGCCAGCGAUUCGGUCGGGAACUCAAAGGAGACUGCCGAUGAUAAACCGGAGGAAGGUGGGGAUGACGUCAAGUCAUCAUGGCCCUUACGAGUAGGGCUACACACGUGCUACAAUGGCGCAUACAAAGAGAAGCGACCUCGCGAGAGCAAGCGGACCUCAUAAAGUGCGUCGUAGUCCGGAUCGGAGUCUGCAACUCGACUCCGUGAAGUCGGAAUCGCUAGUAAUCGUGGAUCAGAAUGCCACGGUGAAUACGUUCCCGGGCCUUGUACACACCGCCCGUCACACCAUGGGAGUGGGUUGCAAAAGAAGUAGGUAGCUUAACCUUCGGGAGGGCGCUUACCACUUUGUGAUUCAUGACUGGGGUGAAGUCGUAACAAGGUAGGCGUAGCGAG